CUGGCCAGGUCUCUCCGGGAAUCUAACAUGGCCAGUGUUUCUUCUAGAGGUGGAACCAAUCAUGAUUUAUUUGGAGGAGCACAAGAUUAACCAGUUGGCUUGUGUUUCGGGGCCAUGAUGUAUAAAAUACUAAGAUUCCUAUCCCUGUCCUUGAAGGGCUGUUGACUGCAGGUCUGUGCCCCAUCCCUUAGAGGCUUGAAUGGAGCGGGCUGGGAGAAUAUGAAGAGGAUUCUGAAUUACACCAAAUAUGAGAUGUUUGCACAAAGACAGACAUUCGAGGUCCUAGAUGGAGUCACCUCAUCCAUCCGAGGCUAACUCCAGAGCAGGAGCCCAUGGAAGAAAAUAGUGGAUGAAAAUGCCUGCAC
RNAcentral lists this long non-coding RNA (365 nucleotides) under Homo sapiens (human). RNAcentral's name for it is "HSALNT0224154". The record is from RNAcentral. Lineage: Eukaryota; Metazoa; Chordata; Mammalia; Primates; Hominidae.